This 475-nucleotide ribosomal RNA is filed under the name uncultured bacterium. RNAcentral's name for it is "partial 16S ribosomal RNA". It matches the Rfam family "Bacterial small subunit ribosomal RNA", at positions 28 to 507 of the family's 1533-position model. The record is from RNAcentral.
GAUGAACGCUGGCGGCGUGCUUAACACAUGCAAGUCGGACGAUGAACCUCACUUGUGGGGGGAUUAGUGGCGAACGGGUGAGUAACACGUGAGUAACCUGCCCUUGACUCUGGGAUAAGCCUGGGAAACCGGGUCUAAUACUGGAUACGACCUUCUGGCGCAUGCCAUGUUGGUGGAAAGCUUUUGUGGUUUUGGAUGGACUCGCGGCCUAUCAGCUUGUUGGUGGGGUAAUGGCCUACCAAGGCGACGACGGGUAGCCGGCCUGAGAGGGUGACCGGCCACACUGGGACUGAGACACGGCCCAGACUCCUACGGGAGGCAGCAGUGGGGAAUAUUGCACAAUGGGCGCAAGCCUGAUGCAGCGACGCCGCGUGAGGGAUGAAGGCCUUCGGGUUGUAAACCUCUUUCAGUAGGGAAGAAGCCGGCUUUUGGGUUGGUGACGGUACCUGCAGAAGAAGCGCCGGCUAACUACGUG